GCCCGUUUAGCAAAGUUGGAAUUGCGGCAGCCUUCUAAGCUGCAGGUCGUGGGAUCGAGACCCACAAUGGGUG
Transfer RNA from Dictyostelium discoideum AX4, 73 nucleotides. It matches the Rfam family "tRNA". From Rfam's summary of the family: Transfer RNA (tRNA) molecules are approximately 80 nucleotides in length. Lineage: Eukaryota; Evosea; Eumycetozoa; Dictyosteliales; Dictyosteliaceae. The record is from Rfam.